This is a long non-coding RNA of Eucalyptus grandis, 421 nucleotides long. RefSeq lists it as uncharacterized. NCBI's taxonomy places the organism in Eukaryota, Viridiplantae, Streptophyta, Magnoliopsida, Myrtales, Myrtaceae. The record is from RefSeq and is a predicted model, not a curated record. The transcript has 3 exons.
GGCAUUGUCAAAGUAUGCAUUUGUUGCUUCUCAGGGGAAAGAGCUUCCAUUCUUUGCAUCCAAAAUCGCCUCGGUCAUACUGGGGCUGAUGAGGUUCUUCCCUUGGCCUGCUGAAGGAGUGCAAAAGAGAUGGUUGGGAAAGGCAAAGAAAGAGUUGACAGCGAGCAUUCAGAAGGGCAUUUCAUUUAACAAGAAUUAAACUGGUUAAGGACGUGGCUUGUCCAAGGAAAAAGGUGUCCCCUGCAUAGUUUCCCGCUAUUUUCUACUCAAAAUAGGUACUUGGGAAUAAGUGGUUCAAACCAAACAAGAUAUCGAAGUUUAUUUUGCCUACGUGGCAUAGAAAACAUAAAGGUUUUUCUUUUCUCACAUGAAAUGUACUCAAAUGUUGGUCUGUGUAAUAACAUGGACUGAUGUUGGUGUA